GUGUUUGCUUUGGUGGCACAUAUACUAAAAUUGGAACGAUACAAAGAAGAUUAGCAUGGCCCCUGCGCAAGGAUGACACGCAAAGUCAUGAAGAAGUCCAUAAAAAA
This 107-nucleotide small nuclear RNA is filed under the name Echinops telfairi (small Madagascar hedgehog). Lineage: Eukaryota; Metazoa; Chordata; Mammalia; Afrosoricida; Tenrecidae. The record is from RNAcentral.